Molecule: ribosomal RNA, 492 nt
Filed under: uncultured bacterium
Lineage: Bacteria
Description: partial 16S ribosomal RNA
Rfam family: Bacterial small subunit ribosomal RNA
Source: RNAcentral
AGUGAACGCUGGCGGUAGGCCUAACACAUGCAAGUCGAACGGCAGCACAGUAAGAGCUUGCUCUUACGGGUGGCGAGUGGCGGACGGGUGAGGAAUACAUCGGAAUCUACUUUUUCGUGGGGGAUAACGUAGGGAAACUUACGCUAAUACCGCAUACGACCUACGGGUGAAAGCAGGGGAUCUUCGGACCUUGCGCGAUUGAAUGAGCCGAUGUCGGAUUAGCUAGUUGGCGGGGUAAAGGCCCACCAAGGCGACGAUCCGUAGCUGGUCUGAUAGGAUGAUCAGCCACACUGGAACUGAGACACGGUCCAGACUCCUACGGGAGGCAGCAGUGGGGAAUAUUAGACAAUGGGCGCAAGCCUGAUCCAGCCAUACCGCGUGGGUGAAGAAGGCCUUCGGGUUGUAAAGCCCUUUUGUUGGGAAAGAAAAGCAGCAGGUUAAUACCCCGCUGUUCUGACGGUACCCAAAGAAUAAGCACCGGCUAACUUCGUG